GCGAACGCUGGCGGCAGGCUUAACACAUGCAAGUCGAGCGGCCGUAGCAAUACGGCAGCGGCAGACGGGAGAGUAACACGUGGGAACGUGCCCAUCAGUUCGGAACAACCCAGGGAAACUUGGGCUAAUACCGGAUACGCCCUUACGGGGAAAGAUUUAUCGCUGAUGGAGCGGCCCGCGUCUGAUUAGCUUGUUGGUGAGGUAACGGCUCACCAAGGCGACGAUCAGUAGCUGGUCUGAGAGGAUGAUCAGCCUCACUGGGACUGAGACACGGCCCAGACUCCUACGGGAGGCAGCAGUGGGGAAUAUUGGACAAUGGGCGCAAGCCUGAUCCAGCCAUGCCGCGUGGAUGAUGAAGGCCUUAGGGUUGUAAAGUCCUUUCGGCGGGGAAGAUAAUGACGGUACCCGCAGAAGAAGCCCCGGCUAACUUCGU
This 433-nucleotide ribosomal RNA is filed under the name uncultured bacterium. Its description in RNAcentral is "bacterial SSU rRNA". It matches the Rfam family "Bacterial small subunit ribosomal RNA", at positions 29 to 506 of the family's 1533-position model. The record is from RNAcentral.